This is a non-coding RNA of Lactuca sativa (garden lettuce), 1743 nucleotides long. Lineage: Eukaryota; Viridiplantae; Streptophyta; Magnoliopsida; Asterales; Asteraceae. The record is from RefSeq and is a predicted model, not a curated record.
UCAUAUAUGCGACAUUUUCUCACCACCAAAAAGCUUAUCAAAAUGGUUUAAAAAGUGGAUCACUUGAGCCUCCAUUUCUUUAAUUUUGGCUUAAAUGAAAUAUUUUUACAGGUAAACAUUACAACCCCUGUUAGGCAAUGAUCAAAAGCGAUAUUAUGUAUGACUUUUUUUCUCAGUUUUUAUUUUUUAAAUAAAUCAAACGGAAUUAUCAUGCUUUUAGUUUCUUUACAAAGUAAAAAUCCGUUGUUAAGCAUUUGUAUGAACAGAUUCCAUACUUUGUGGAGCCAAUUCAUGAAUAUGUAGUUGAAUGGCUGCCUACCUGACAUUCAAAACAAACUCUCCCAAGUAAGUUUUCUAGACACUUUUUGACCAUCUCACAUUUUACAAUGAUAUAUAAGAACCCCAACCUCCAAACUCCAUACGCAGAGGAAAAUACUAAUCCCAUCCAAAACACCAAAAAAGUGAAGAAUCAAACUGUUGAAAACAUUCGCCUGUCACUCGUUUCCUACCUUCGAGAAGUACAAGAUCUCAAAGAAGCAGCUCAAACUAAACAUGCAGAAGGUUUCACCAUGGAUGACAACUCUUACAACAUCAUCCCUACACAACAAGAACAUCUAGACUACAAAAUACUAAAGACCAUUCUUGAAGACGUCAGAGCUGAAAACCUCUCCAUAGAAGGCAAUAUAGCUUUCAUGUUUGGAUCCAUCCACAAAAGGAUUGGAAAGUUUGAAUGUGUGAUGAAAACUAUGCCUAAUGAGUAGAAAACAUAUGUAAUGUAUUUACUUCCAUGUCACUCUAUAAACAAAUGAAAUACCUAUCUUAAGUUCAUUUCACAAACAGUAGAAUGAAAAAUCCAACCCCCACAAAGUGAGGAUAUUUUUCCCUAAUUAUAUAUUAAAUCUGGAAAUCCUUAAGAACAGUUAUUUUAGUGAGCUUUGGAAUUUAGCCGCUCAUGUUUUAUAAAUUGGCAGUAUUAGUCCCUGUCUUUAUCAUCGGUUCUUCUCGAUGCUUCCCACCACCAUUAUCUUAUUUCACAACUUUCCACUUAAUCUCAAUUGGUGUCUCAAUGAGAGAGAGAGAGAGAGAGAGAGAGAGAGAGAGAGAGAGAGAGAGAGGGAAGAGGGUGAAACAACAGAUGUGUCACUGAUGUUGCUGGUCAGUGACGGUGUCGUUGGAGGGUAGGAACUGUCAUCGUUUCCUACACCGAUUGAACCCUCUAUUUUCGCAAUUUCUGCCUCCGGCUUCUUCCGCAAAUACAGGUGUUGUUUCAGAUAAAUACACUUCAACUGAUGUUUCUGAGUUAGAGUUUGUCGGCUUUUGUUUUCUAUAGGUGAAAGAAAGGGUGAAGGAAAAACUGACGUUAUUACUUAGGUACUUCAAAAGAGCGUCAGAUGGGUUGCUUUUCCUCCCGAUUUCUACGGUAACUACCUCUAAAAUAUCCUUUCAUUUCUCAGGGUCGAAUUUGGUUUUGAAGCCAAUUCUUUCUUUGAUUCUGGUAUGCCUAUUCACUUCGGUUUAACUUAUUGGUUCAUACUUGCAUCCUAAGGUCCUGUUGCUGUGAAGAAUUUCGUUUUUAACCGAUCAUAAAUUUUAACCUUUUACUUAUUAUUGUUAUACAAUGUUGUUUGCAUUACCUAUACCAUCUGUAAUGUGUUAAUUUGAUAUCUAACAUGAACUUGGGUUCCAAGAAUUAGGAUUAAGUUUAAGUUUUUGUCUAUUGGACUUUGAAAGAAACUAAAAUGU